This 503-nucleotide ribosomal RNA is filed under the name uncultured Desulfobulbus sp. RNAcentral's name for it is "bacterial SSU rRNA". It matches the Rfam family "Bacterial small subunit ribosomal RNA", at positions 884 to 1382 of the family's 1533-position model. The record is from RNAcentral. Lineage: Bacteria; Pseudomonadati; Thermodesulfobacteriota; Desulfobulbia; Desulfobulbales; Desulfobulbaceae.
CCAGCCCGCUCAGAAACUCAAAGGAAUUGACGGGGCCCGCACAAGCGGUGGAGUAUGUGGUUUAAUUCGAUGCAACGCGAAGAACCUUACCUGGUCUUGACAUCCCGGAGACCCUUAGGAAACUAGGGGGUGCUUCCAUCUGGAAGAAUCUGGAGACAGGUGCUGCAUGGCUGUCGUCAGCUCGUGUCGUGAGAUGUUGGGUUAAGUCCCGCAACGAGCGCAACCCUUGCCUUUAGUUGCCAGCAGUUCGGCUGGGCACUCUAAAGGGACUGCCGGUGUUAAACCGGAGGAAGGUGGGGAUGACGUCAAGUCCUCAUGGCCUUUAUGACCAGGGCUACACACGUACUACAAUGGCCGAUACAAAGGGCAGCGACACUGCGAGGUGAAGCCAAUCCCGUAAAAUCGGUCUCAGUCCGGAUUGGAGUCUGCAACUCGACUCCAUGAAGUUGGAAUCGCUAGUAAUCGUGGAUCAGCAUGCCACGGUGAAUACGUUCCCGGGCCUU